Apis dorsata (giant honeybee) is the source of this 842-nucleotide long non-coding RNA. RefSeq lists it as uncharacterized. NCBI's taxonomy places the organism in Eukaryota, Metazoa, Arthropoda, Insecta, Hymenoptera, Apidae. The transcript is spliced from 4 exons. The record is from RefSeq and is a predicted model, not a curated record.
GUAGAUAAUAUUAUUUAGAGACAAAUUUUAUUUAUCUUAUUAGCUUCUCUAAAUAUAAAAAUAUUUAUAAAUUAAUUUAACACGUCAUAUUAAAAAAAAAAAAAACAAAAUAUAGAGAUUAAUAUUGUGUUGCGCUCGGCAAAACUGAUAAACUAAAUCGUAGUCGCGUGCCACCGUGCAAUGACAAUGCAUCGUCGAGUCAAACGAAUCGAACGUGUGUCCGAACUCUCGUGCUAUUAAUUUCUCAUCGGAGUAAAUGAAAUACGCGUUGCAUUCGACAGAACAUAAUUUACGGAUUGGAAUUAAUGCGCCUCGCGAAAGCUAAGGUCCCAGACCUUUGUUAUUUAAUCGCGCUACAUCAUUUCCACGCUAAUAGAUUUCACCUUCGACGUUUCAUUUCGGAUCAGAUCAUUUGCAUUCAUACGCGUGCGCCACCGUGUAUAACUCACGACGUUACACGUUCAUUUUCUUUCCUCCGCGAGAAUUCACCUCGGAAUACACGUUCGAUCGAACACAACACGCUCGAUCGAUAUUGUUCCAUUACACCAAUAAUUACGUUCGAUCGUUGUUUCGUUUGUUUGUCGUGUAGUACAGAAUUGUUCGAGCAUCGUACGAAAUGUCGAUGCACCUUGAAUUUUUAAUUUGAUACGCGUUACGAUACUUGUCGUCGUCGUAAAAAUUGAAAAUUAAUGGUAAAAUGAAUUUUGAUGGAAUAGAAAUUGAAAAAGAGAGUGAACUUUUGAAUAUAAUUUAAUCAGAAUGUUUUUUGAAAUGUGGUUACAGAUGACAGAGAAGGAAAAUUUCGUUAUGUGUAGAGUAAAUUUUUGUAAUUGCUUGGAAAC